RNAcentral lists this ribosomal RNA (1480 nucleotides) under Romboutsia weinsteinii. RNAcentral's name for it is "Bacterial large subunit ribosomal RNA". It matches the Rfam family "Bacterial large subunit ribosomal RNA", at positions 325 to 1826 of the family's 2925-position model. Lineage: Bacteria; Bacillati; Bacillota; Clostridia; Peptostreptococcales; Peptostreptococcaceae. The record is from Rfam by way of RNAcentral.
UAUUGUAAAUGAAGAGGUUUGGAAAGACCCGCCAUAGAAGGUAAUAGCCCUGUAAUUGACACAAGAAAGCUACUAGCAUGAUCCAGAGUACCACGGGACACGUGAAACCCUGUGGGAAGCAGGAGGGACCAUCCUCCAAGCCUAAAUACUACCUAGUGACCGAUAGCGCAUAGUACCGUGAGGGAAAGGUGAAAAGAACCCCGGGAGGGGAGUGAAAUAGAACCUGAAACCCUGCACUUACAAGCUGUGGGAGCACUUUUUAUGUGUGACCGCGUACUUUUUGUAGAACGGGCCAACGAGUUACGAUAUGUAGCAAGGUUAAGCACUUAAGGUGUGGAGCCGUAGCGAAAGCGAGUCUUAAAUGGGCGUUUAGUUGCAUGUCGUAGACCCGAAACCGGGCGACCUAUCCAUGAGCAGGUUGAAGCGAAAGUAAAAUUUCGUGGAGGACCGAACCCACGAGCGUUGAAAAGCUCGGGGAUGACUUGUGGAUAGCGGUGAAAUUCCAAUCGAGCCCGGAGAUAGCUGGUUCUCCCCGAAAUAGCUUUAGGGCUAGCCUCAAGCGUAGAGAAACGGAGGUAGAGCACUGAAUGUCCUAGGGGGUAUUGCACUUACCGAAGACUAUCAAACUCCGAAUGCCGUUUUCUUUUACUUGGGAGUCAGACUGUGGGUGAUAAGAUUCAUAGUCAAGAGGGCAACAGCCCAGAUCGUCAGCUAAGGUCCCUAAAUGUACGUUAAGUGGUAAAGGAUGUGGGAUUGCACAGACAACCAGGAUGUUGGCUUAGAAGCAGCCACUCAUUUAAAGAGUGCGUAAUAGCUCACUGGUCGAGUGAUCCUGCGCCGAAAAUUUCCGGGGCUAAAACGUACUACCGAAGCUACGAUAUCAUUAUGAUAGGUAGGGGAGCUUCGUAUACAGGCUGAAGCAUGACCGUAAGGACAUGUGGACAGUAUACGAGUGAGAAUGUUGGCAUGAGUAGCGAGAGGUGAGUGAGAAUCUCACCGGCCGUAAACCCAAGGUUUCCAGGGGAAGGUUCGUCCGCCCUGGGUUAGUCAGGACCUAAGCCGAGGCCGAAAGGCGUAGGUGAUGGACAACAGGUUGAUAUUCCUGUACCACCAAUAACCGUUUGAGAAAUGGGAUGACACAGAAGGAUAAGCUAACCGCACUGUUGGUUAUGUGCGGACAAGUAUUGAGGCAGUUCUGAUAGGCAAAUCCGUCAGAAUAAUGCUGGGGUACGAUGUGGAGCGAAAUUAAGUAGCGAAGUAGCUGAUUUCACACUGUCAAGAAAAGUCUCUAUCGAGGUUAAAGGUGCCUGUACCUCAAACCGACACAGGUGGGUGAGGAGAGUAUCCUAAGGCCAGCCAGAGAACUGUUGUUAAGGAACUCGGCAAAAUGACCCCGUAACUUAGGGAGAAGGGGUGCCAUCUUCGGAUGGCCGCAGAGAAUAGGCCCAAGCGACUGUUUACCAAAAACACAGGUUUCUGC